Molecule: long non-coding RNA, 12330 nt
Organism: Gallus gallus (chicken)
Lineage: Eukaryota; Metazoa; Chordata; Aves; Galliformes; Phasianidae
Source: Ensembl
GUUUUUUUGUGUGUGUUUAGAGUCCCCAAACAUAUGUGCCUUAUUAAAGUGCUGCCCAUUUCAUAGGCUUUAUCUUGCACUGGAUGAUCUCUGGUGGUAGGGAUAUUCAAGCUGCUUUAUACAUUUAGUUGUCCCUGAGUGUCUUUUUGACAGUCUGUUCCAGAUUCUAAUGAUUUUACAUUAAGAUUCAGGGACUCGGUAAUCUCUCCCCUCCCAGUCCCCAACAACAAUAGAAAUAUCAACUCUUCAGCCCUAAAUCAAACACAAAUCUCUCUGAAAUCCUCACCUGGAGCCAUCUUUCAUAGGUCUCUUUUCCCUGUGACUGCUGCAAUCCAUGGGAUCUGCAGUAGUCUUCCUGCUGGAGAAAAUAAAAACAGAUGACAUGAAUCAGGACCUCUUCUUGACAGGAACGAGGUGGAGGGGCUGCUCUCGGACAGCAGGUACACCAUAAAUUGCUGGUUAAGCCUCGCCAACAUUUCUGCAGACGCAUUGGGCUGUGGGAGGUUUGGGCUGCUCCAUUCUUCCACAUUGGUUAUCGUCUUUCAUUUCUUUUACACCUGAUACCAUGUGGUUUACAGAAAUCUCUCUGGACCCAAUAAACCAUGGAAGUGAGCCUCCUUAUUCUGUUUUCUUUCUUCUCCUGCCCUUCUUCAUUCAUUUCCUGGCUCUAAAGCUAAGCAACCAAAUCCCCCAGGGUUCCCUGGUAAGCAAAGGGCAGCCAGAAAUGGCAGGAAAAAGGGUCCUGCCCGAGCGCAAAAGGAAAGGGAAGGAGAGAGAGGAGUCCCCAGACCUCUUCGAGGGGAACAGGUCUGCCUGUCUGCAGCACUCCCGGGCUCUAUUACACACAAGGCGAGUAAAAGACAGGGAAAACCAGAAUUUAUAUAGCCAGGGAUCUGCAUCCCUUCAGGAAACAGUUCAUGCGCUUCUUCUUGGGGCCAGCUAGCGGCACUGGGAGGUUUGUUGUUACCCAGCCUGCAGGCCCUGACAGGCUCUGUCAACGCUGGGCUCCUCUUCUCACUUCCCUUGUGCCAGUCCCCUGGGUGCACCUGCAGGAGGAGCACGGCUGAGUGGACAGAGCAGCUGCCCACAGCCCUGCACAGGCUGAUGAGCCCUGCUUUGCCUCACCGGCGCGGCGCUGAUGGAACACGUGCAGCAACAACCAGCUCCUAAGAAGGACAAAUCCCCAGGCCUGGUUACUAGGGAUCCCACUGAUCGUAUUCCCCUGCCCUUCCAGCUCACGUGCAGGUCCCAAACAAACGGCAGCACAUGCUGAUUCGGAGUGGCAGGCGUGCUGCUGGCCAGCUGGCUGCUGCUGCUUCUCCCAGGGGAUGGGAGGCUUUUUGUUCCAGUAGUGGGGGUGGCAAUUGGGGUUUCUUUUGCCUCCAUCUGGCCACAAGCCUUCGGGUAAUUUGGGGGAAUUUCCUAUCAGUGAAGUUACUCUCUCAUCAGCUGACAGUUUCAAAAGCAAUUCAAGGGAAGAUAGGAAUGACAUCGAGAUAAAAAUGCAAUCACAGAAAGGUUGGGGGAAGUCUUCUUUCCUUCACCCACAAAUUCCUUGAUGCUGGAAAACAUCCCCCUUCCCCAUACCCUCCAAUUUGCUACAGGUUCUAACAUGAACAGCUUCUGCUGGGAGUAGCCGACUGUGCCAAAAUACAAUAGCUGCUGCUCCUCCUCUGUCCUCUCCCCAGAUGAUCACACGGUUCAGCUAUUGACAUCGCCCAGAAAAUGGAAGUUGCUCAGUGUUUACUAACCGUUCUGCUCCUCUCUGCUCUGCGCAGCCCUCUGUGGGGCAGCCAGCUCUCUGCUGUUUACAAGCCCAUCUGCUUCUGUUGCUUUUCUUCACCUGAAGUUACAGCACUCCGUUCAGGAUAUUUCUCGCAGUUGUGGUGGGAACUGUAAAGAGCAGAGGAGGAUUUCAGGUGGUAAGGAAGCAGUACGAAAAGAAGAAUACAAAUCUGUUCUUGUCUAAAUAGACCUAAAAAUAAGGAAAACAAGAAUAAGAUGGCAGAGGAAAUUCCAAACAGCCAAGGGUGGCUUCGGCAGAACAGUCAUUCCAAGGAGAGUUUUCCUUCUAUUUUUAUGAGAACUUUAACAUUUAGAAUCAAACCAGAAAGGAAAAUAACAUGUGCUCCAGUGACUAUUUCCCUGAAAUUACACUGCAGUUCCCUGCAUUUUCAAGUCUCUAGAGGCAGAGCUACAGGACUUCUUUGCCUAAACCUGUACUGCUGCUGCGAGCUGUUUAGUUCAGAGUUCUCCAUGCAGUUUAACUCAAGGCCACGUUUCCAUGGGUAAGAGGGGACCUUGGGAGUCAGAAAGACAUUGGAAACCUGUCUUCCCACACUAUGAGAACCUGGAGGCAACCCUCAGAACCAGAGCUGCUGUCCCAGCAGCUUGAGCCUGCAAGCAUGACUGCAGGAGGGACCAGAGGGGGCUCUCCAGAGUUUCAGGCAUUUAAAAGCUCUCUGUAGCCCAGCUAGCCAGCCAAGCGUGCCAUGCUGCAAGCCUGGGCAGGCUGCUGCAGACAUCCACAGGCUGUGUGCGAGGCAGCUGCGUGGAUGGGAGGCAGACUGCUGGGGAGCAUGCUGUGCUCACAAAUGCUGGUGCAGAUUGAGGGAAUAGCUCUGAGAGCCAAGUUCCCGCGUGCCACAGCCUCUCUGUGCCUGUGCCUGGCUCAGGAUGGGGACAGGGACUGCACUGCGAUGUCUGGGCACUGCCUUGGCCACUGGUAAUCGGCAGAAGGUGGCGGUGACUUUGAUCCCAGUUCACAGUGUUGGUGCUUAGCUUGGAAGAGAAAACAGAAACAUUUUACAGAACAUACACACAUUGAAGUUCACAUUCCGUGUGGGCAAAGCCUGAGAAGGACGAGGAAAUGCUUGUGAGGUCUCAGAAGAACACGCUGUAGGUCCCUUCUGUGCAGUUGGAUCACCGAUCUCCACCAUCUCAGGGUCAGAAACGUGCCUGGCUUAGAGAGCAACGUGAUGUCCCAGUUGGCAGCUUCCUGGUUCUGCCUCACCAGCUCAGCACGGCGUGCACAGAUCACGUCCCAAGUCUUGAGGCUAUUGAGAAAAGACGCUGUGAGCUCCUGGGAAGGGAGGAGCCUGCCAAGGCAGUCCCUCUGAGCAGCUAGGUGCAACACGCCAGCAGAAAGCAGUGCCUGUUGCAACGCUGCAGCUCUCAGGGCCUGCGUCAGGACCUCUCCACACACAUGCUCUUCAUUAGCGCUAACCCGGGAGCAGAAACAAGAGCAAAACCUCCAAGAGGAUUAAGCACAUGGAUGGGAGCUCUGAUGCAAGGACGGAUCCAACCUGAACUUCCUCCAAAACACGCAGUCAGAUCUGGUUGCUCUGGUUUGGAUCUGAAUCUGGCAAGAUGGAAAGCAGCGCAAUGAGAUGCUGAAAGAGGGGAGCAGAAAGAAAGGAAAACAGUUCCCUCCCUCUCACCCCAAAAAUGCAGUGGGCCCAGAAGCGUGCACAAUAAACUCCUCUCCUUUCCCUCACUUCGGGUUACAUUGUUCGCUUUCCUGCAAAUUGUUUCCACAUUCUGUAUAAAUAACCCCAUUGCCAGCGAGGGGGAGGGAGGGAGCAGAGGGGCACGGGGAGAAGGGGUGGGAGGAAAUCAGAUGUCUUUGUUAGUUUUCAAAAAGAAGGUGGAGGAUGGCGAGCAGCAGUUGGGAGCCGGGGCCUUGGCAGGCCGAGCAGAGAGCUGCCAUGGAGCUGUGUUCAGACCUGGAGGAAGAAGAGUAAACACGGGAGAGAUUAUAUAUAAUUACAGACAAUCAUGUUGCUGGGGAUAAACAGGAAUCAAAAGCAGGGAGGCACUGAAGUCUGGCACGUCCCCAAGCCCAGAACAGAAGCCAGCCAGCGAGAGGCAACGCGGCUGGAAAGUGCUUCCCCUUGGGCCUGUUUUCAGUUAGCUCAGGGGCUGGGUUUUUUUUCCCCCCUCUUUCUGGCUUGAGGCGUUCCCCCAUAAAGAGACGCGCCUGCUCACUGGGGAACGGGAGCCAAAGUGAAGUCAGCAGAAUCCCUGUCUGCGACAUUAAUAGAUUACUCUGUGAGAAACAUCAGGAACGUUUGGAAAAGAAACAGCCCGCUGAGGUCAGCAAAACCACCAACAACAGGAAUUUUGGAACAAAAAUGGCUUCAGAAGCACUCCAGAAGCUGUGCCUGCAUGUCCGGCGGGCGCUCUCCUUGUAUGGGGAAGUGACCCUAGAGAAGGAUGUGUAGGGAGGGCUGCACCUGAUGCUCCCAGCUCCCCUGGCUCCAGGGUUUGUGACAAAGCAUCCAGGUCAGAACCGUGCUACCCCAGCAGCAUCAGCACCUUUGUAUUUGCACAGCCUGAGAGAGGGAAGGAAAAAGAUUCUGCACGUACUGGAGGUGCUCUGGAUGCAGUCAGAAGAGCAGGCGCUGAUGCUCCAAGCGUUGCAGCUGAGGUGGGUGAUGCUGAGCACUCAACAGCGUCCUGCAAAGGAGGAGGGGGAAGCGAAGAAACAAAGCUGAGAAGCAAACUGAAAGGCACAUGGCCCACACGGGUGUUUUGUUGUUUUUGUUGUGUUUUUUUUUUUUUUAAAAAAAAAAAAAGGACCUUGAGGGAUUUGAAAGAGGAAAGCAGACUCGCUCAGCCUUCUUUCCCUUGAAGGCUCACUGAAGACUCAGAGGGAAGGCGACAUUGUGCCAAACAAAGGACGGCAACCUCAGCCGCUGACAGGAGGAGGGUGGUUCGGCAGUGUGAAAAGCUCUCUCCCAGGCACUAUUUUAAAUCCAAAUAGCUUACAGCCUGCUGAAUUCUUAAGCCAUUUUCCUCAUCUCUCAGCUGUUCUUCAUUGAGAAUUCAGGCAUAUAUUUCAAAGCAGCAACGCGGAGAGAAAAAUAUAUAUGUAUCUAUAUACAGAUAUACACAAGAAAUAACCAAACCUGUGGUUAAAAUCAGCAUAAGAGCACAGGAAGCAGGGCAUGCACAAAGGCUCUUCUACCUUCCCUCACUCACUAAAGGUGCUCUGAACAUCCUUUCCUAAGGAAAGAAAACUGAUUUUUUUUUUCAGGGAAAUGGCAUUUGCUCUAUGAGAACAGUGUCACAGUGUGGUGAAUGACACCGUUAUCUGGCUACCUGGGUAUAAUAUUUGAUGUAUUUUCUGUGAAUUCAUCAUCGUGAGCAUUUUUCCACCAGGAUUUCUAAUACUGACAAAUCCUCCACCAGUGCUGGGUAUGUGUGGGACAUAUAUGCAUGUGCAGAAGUGCACAAUCUCUCCCUUGGCCAUCUCAAAAUGUAGUGGUGGCACAGACAGGGUCAGUUUAAGCACAAAGUAGGAGCCACAUUCAACUCAAAGCUGCUGGAAAUAGAUUAGAGGGGGCAGAGGGAAUGGAACUGGAAGGCAUUUGAGAUCCAAGCCUUUUCUGCUACAAAAUUACAUUGGCUCUGUGAGGCCAUAUUUAAGCAAUCUGCACCCACAGUUCCUUCCAAAUAUCAGAUGUGAGCAUACAGAACCAAGAAUAAAACCAAGGUAGCAGAGGGGUCCCAACAAUAAGCUGGUUGUGUCCGUACGCCAUGCUGGGCAGAAACAGCACCAGGAGUUUGGCAACACGAUGAGAGAAAGGAAAGGGAGCUCUGGUCCUGACUUCUGUCCAAGGAGAAACGGGGUUACCGAUGUCCUGCAGUCACAGGUGAACACCAACCACAAGUCCCUGACAAAGGCAGGCCCCCAAACAGCCACACUGUGUUAUCAGAAAGCAAGAAUUAAAAUUUUAUCAAGAUGGAAAGAGCAGAUCCUAAGAGAACGUGGAUUUCAGAAGCAAUCACCGCAUCGUUCCGCAGGCACCUCGGUGUGACUCGCAAGGCAGACAGAAAAUCAGAAGAGCUCCACCUAAAUAGAAACACACAGCGACUGCUUCCGGAAAGAGCCCUUGGUGGGGUAAAGCGUCUGUCCUUCCUUCUCUCUCCCUCUUUUCCUAAGGCAAAUUGGAAAAAGAAGAGUGUGAUGUUUGCAUCACAGCUUAUUUUUGCCUUGCAAAACCUAUUUGCAUGCGCUGGAGGAAAGGUUUCUUUUGGCUUGUCACAAAAUCCCGUGGCUGGUACGUUAGCUGGCAGUCUGCUUUGCAUGGGCUCAGGCAAAUCCAGCAAUCCAACCUCGGCCUUUGCUGUCAGCCCCUACACAUCCACUUUUGAAAUAAUUAUUUCCAUGGCUUAUGAAAUAACUCAUGUCACUGACAGAGUGAUGAGAGCAGCCCUCCAGGCCCGAGCUGCCAGGCGCAGGCACCUUUCAAUAUGCUGCCUGCAAGAAGUGCAAGGUUUUGUUCAAUGAAAAACCCACCCUAUUUUGAGCUUGUGAAGAGCUGUGGCUUGAAGACAUAAGCCUCUUUAUAUUUAAUAAUACACAUUACCGAUUUUUCCCACAGAAAACCUUCAGUGAACAGCCUUUUUUCGUUGAAAUCUUCUGUUGCAAAUAUUGGUUAUUCACUGGAAACAUAAAGCCCAAAAGAUGCGACCAAGCGAUUUUAUUAGAAGUUUCUAUUUCUGCAGCAAAGCGGACAUCUCCAAAAAGGCACAACCAAUUUGCUGUACACUGACUGUCAGCAGAAAAGCAACUCUGAUGCUAAGUUUUUAAUUAGCCCAUAUAAAUGUACAUGCAAAUGGGCAUUUCAAAGGGAAAAGUUAUCCCUCAAACAAAAACUCAUCAACGACAUAAGCUACGGGAAAACAGCAAGCAGGAAUGUUCUGAUCCUGACAUGUACAGCAGCAGAUAAAUAAGGCCAAGUUAUCUCCUCCUGCCCCACCAGGGCUCCCAAAUGUCCAGAAAAAAGCUAUUUGUGAUACAGCUGCAGUGCCCAAGCUGCACUGCUGCUGAAGUACCAGUGCCUGAGUUCACUGUUCACUUCCUUUCUCCAGAAGAUACGCUGGUUAAUCUGACUCACACACCUGUAUAAUGGAUGUGACACAGAGGUCUUAUCAUUUAAAGGAUGCAUUUGUACAUGGCAUCCUUUAAAAUAUCAGAUCAGGAAACCACCUGGAUGCUGCUGCUGCUGAACACCUGCAUGGCUUGUUCUGCAAAGGGGCAGGGAGGGAGGUGAGGCAGCCAGCAGGAGAAGGGGACUGAGGUGCACACAAGACAGAAGGAAGACAAAGGGAAAGAGGAAGAUGAAUUAAUGAUCCGACACCAGUGAGAAAACAAGUACAAAUGCGGUCCCCAGAGUUAACACUGUGGGUUGCACGAGGAGCAGGAUCAAUAGGCGCUGUGCGGAGGGAGCCCAGCGCGGGGUUACGGCAGCCACGGUGGAAGUCCCCAGAUUACAAUAAGGCAGCUUGAAGGUGACAGAUUUCAUUGUUGAAGGUGAUAAAAUUCCAUGUGGCGUGCUGCAAAACAAGGGCUGGAGCUCAGCCUGCAGAAAAGGAGGCGGCACCGAGACGGCACAUGUGGGGAUUCUCCCCCUCUUCUCUCCAUGGAAAUUAGGACAGAAGUGCCCAAGCUGUGUGCCACGUUUCCUCACUUUUGUGUCUCUGUUCCCAUAGUGGAAGCACGUGAGGCAAAGCAGACAAAAUGUGGGGCCAUCCUCCAUGGAGCCCUGCAGCAGGCAGCAUGCUGCAGGCAGUGUUGGCAUGAACUAGUUGGCCAUGGCACCUUCUGCUGCUUGUGCUUCACUGAAGUGGUCUCCCACAGUUCUGAUGAGGGCCACACUAUCAUGAACAAGGUGUCCCAAAAGCUUCAGGUUUUGUUUUUCCAAAUAAGGCCUGAAUGCCAUUACACAGAUAGAAGAUUCAUUUAGCAGAAGUCCAACCUUCACUCCCUUUUCCUCGUGCCACACUGUGCUGCAAAUGCUUUGCAGAAGGAUGCAUUGCAAAGGACGGGAAUUUUGAUCCAAGAGAGGUUGGUUUGGUCUGGAUGCACUACGACUGCUUGAAAUGCAGGGAAGACUCAGCAGCAGAGAUGUGCAAGGAACAGGAGAAUCAAAGCCUGAGACUAAACUAGCAAUUAGACCAGCCCCAGAAUACAUUCAAGCCGAAUCAAUCCAUAGAAGAAUUUCAGUCACGGUCUGCUCGUGCCCACACUGCCUUCCUCCCUCCCUUUCUCUCCCACAACCCAGGGCUGAGAUCCAGCACUGCUGUCUGCUUCAUCAGAAUAUGCAAGAAGUGCAGUGACAACGUGCCUCCAAAGAUGCUUAUCAGUUUUGCAAAGUCCCAGCUCAUCCUCCUCUUGUGGAUCUAUUUACAUAUUGAUGUAUUUAUUCGACUCUCUCCACCAGGCGUGCCCUGUGAGAUUAAACCAUUUUAUAUACAAAGACAUUGGGGUUGCAGCUCCUAACAAUUAAGUCAGCCAAGAUAGAACUUUGCGUGUGCUUUCAGAUUGAUGUGUGAACAGACAAAAGAGUCCUCGUCAGCGAUUCGGGAGCAGCUGGGGGGAGGACCAGUUAAACCCCAUCUAUAUAAACCCGUCAAUAGCUGCUGCCACUGGGAGAAAUGGAUCGGGGUGGCAGGAGGUGCAAACAGGCAGAAGAGAAAGGUGAUGGGCCAGCAGGAUGGAUAAAACAUGAAGAAAAAAUGUAGCCAGUAUGGCUCACCUGAAAAAGCAGGUUCUUGGAGGAGCUUUGAGGAAACACGUGGGCUCCUGGGGUUUGCUCCUGCUCUGCCUCAGCCAUCGAAGGAGAAAAAUUGUUCUUCUCAAUGGGAACAUCUGGGAGGGACAGGAAGGUGGGAGAAGAGAGAAAUGCCUUGUGAGAAAAAAGCCAGUGAGAGGUCCUUCAGGAGAAACCACCUGCAGCUGCCUUCAUGCUCCAGGCCUUUCUACAAGAGCUUGUCCCUGUGGCACAUCUCUUCUCUCUCCGUCAGCAGCUGUGUUUAUCAGCCACCUCUUCUCCACACCCUUUUGGACAGGAGGGUUCUGUCUGAAAGGUGCAGUCUGGGCCAGCGUUUGCAGCGUUAUCGUCCCCUCCCUGGGCAAUGCCACUGAGCACCAGCAUGUCCUGCAGUUGCAACAGCUUUCAGCAAAGCACAGAACUGCAGGGAUCAGCACCCACAGGUGUACAAACCUGCAGCAUGUGCUCCUGUUUGAAGGAUGUCCCUCAGAGCACUGCAGGCUCCUGGAACACAGCAGCUGAAGUCACCUGUGUAUCUAGAUGGGUAUAAAUGUGGCACUCUGCCUCCUGCUCCUGACAGCAAUCCCAUCGGCUGCCAGCAUUCCUCUUAGUAUCUCUGACGUUUCAGAAUUAUAUUUAGGGAAGUGCACAGGAAUUAAAUUUUGACGUUUGCUACAGAGCACUGUGAUAUAAAUAUUCUGCACCACCUGCCCGAGGGUCUAUUGGUACGUAGCAAGGCUGCAUUGUUGCUUUUAAUUAAACAGGCACAGGCAGCCCAAGGAAGGAGCACUAAACAGCAUCCUAACCAUCUCAGAAGUCCUCACUUGUCUCCUUAUUAAUUCUCACCCUGAUCUUUUGCACAGCACUAUCACCAGGCUAAUUAAUCACAAGUGCAAGCACAAGCAUUAAUUGCAACAAUGAGUCAUUUUUUCUUGCCUGUGCCUGGCCAUUUCUAGCCUAUAGGAAUGCAGCUACUCCCGUUACUUUUAUAAUUAUUAUAAAUAUAGAGCCAGCAACACACACUACAUUUUGUAGGCAUUAAAAAAGACAUGGAAUUUGGCCCGAAGCAUUAACAAUCUGGUGCACAUUCAUGGGAGUGAUGAAUGCAUUUCACUGACAGUCAGAAAAUGCAUUUCCUGAAUCAUUUUAAUUCAGGGAACGGUAUGAAGAUGUACGGUAAAGCACAGGUUUUAAGAAUCCAGCAUCUGCAGUUCCUCUGGUCAACAAGUCUUGGCUGCUCACAGCUUGCUGGGACUUAUUUCCACAAUGCAUGGCAUCUCCAGAUCACACUGUCUCUGGAAAAUCAUCCAAGAUGGCUCUCAAGUACGUAUCGCUGGGGUAAGAAGUGCUCCAUCCUCUGUAUCUCAGGCUUGGGUUUAUCCCGAGUGAGCUCUACUCACAGCCUUGCUGUUGGGAUGAAAAGAAGGGAGGCAAACCUUUGGAGCAUGGUGUGUGCCGGAGACUCCCAGCACAGCCGGAGCUGUUGGCAGACACUGGGAAUUUGGAGCCAUCCAGCUUGGUGCUGGGUGAGACAGUGCCUUCCCCUGGCACAGGAUAACGCAGGGAUGGAAACCAAUGUGCUGCACAAGGGGUAGGAAAAACUGCUGACUGUGUCAUGCUGAGAGAUUAGAUUAUAAAUGUAUUAAAUGACUAACGUGCAUUAUACAUCCUUCCCAGGCCAAACCACCUGCAUACACAAUGUGUGGUUGUGAUGUGGGGUUGACAGGUUCAGGCAAAUGGUUCAGGACUAAUUUUCAGUGUCAGAUUGGCAGAACGCGCUCCAGACAGAGGGAGAGAUGAAGCCAAAGCUGUGAAAACACUGCUUUUUAGGGAGAAAACAAAGCUAAAAUCUGAACAGCCACAAAAACACAAAACUACAGUAAAUAUGUCUUUUCCUUGCCAGAGCAGGGGCUGGGGAGAUAAAGAAGUGGCUGAAGGAGAACUGAAGGUGAGCACCCGUUAUUUACUGCUGCUGAUGAAGGAGUAAACCCCCACGUUGUGUUUUCCUUCAGGACAACAAGAGCAGCCUGGCUAGCUGUUAUGUUCCCCUCCUGGGGUGCGUUUUACAUGCUGCUUCAGUGCAGUGCCGUACUGCUAUUAAUUGUUCACAAGCACACAAAGCACACGGUGUUCUCCUGCACCACCACUGCACUCCCAGCCGAUCAGACAGAGAAGUCGCCAACCAAGACAGAGGUCUGGAGAAUACUGUAAAAAAAAUAUCUAAAAGGGUUUGUCAUUUUUAAAAAAAAUAUAAUAUACUCCCCUCUGCCUGCUUAAAAGCAUAGGCUUGUUUGAACUUCCUAGGGAAGUCGGGAGCACUAAAGAGGAAUUGGCAGGCUCCAAUCUGGCUGCUUUUCCUUAUUAUGAGAAAAUACACUCUUGUCUCCUUGUCUAAGGGUAAGAAUUCCUCAUCUCAUAUUGUGUUUGCACAGAAGCGUGAAAUGUAUCCUGAACACUGGUCCUCAUCCACACUUCACAACGUGAGAACAACGAGGGCAGUGAGAAUGGGAGCACCACAAAAGUGGGGGAGCUGUGUCUGCUCCGAGGCUGCAGCUCUCGUGCUGCAUUCACCACACCCACGGCAUUUAAGGGGAAGCAGUGGCAUGAUUCUCCCCCAGGAUGCUGAGGGGCCCCGUUUUGUGAGCUGUUGCCCCUGUGGGAAGCUCCCUUCUCCUCUUCCAUAAAUGUUCCCCCUGCUGCCACUGAAUCACCAAAUAAUCUGGAGACCCGUGGGAAGGGAAUUAAAUGGUGGUUAUCACACCGCCACGUUCUGCUCAUUUUAUUUGUUUUAAAUGACCAUGAAAGCAAAGUGGGGAGAAAGAAAACACCCAAGUGGAAAGUUAAUUGAGCUACUGAAAUGUCUUUAAAGGAGCACUGUGAUGCCUCGGCUCCCGCUGGUGGCAUUUGCUCACAUGAGUUGGCACCUGAUGAUGCAGUACGGCUGGGACCCUCUCUCUACACAGCUCUUUCUGCAGGCUUGGAGCUGAGGACAACCUUCCCGUAAAGGUGGGAGAAGUGGAAAAAGACCUAAAUAUGGGGAGCAGACCCAAGCAGAGAUGAGGGAGGAACUGCCCUGACCAACUAGCUGGAGGUAGGAGCACAGAAAAUCAAGAUGUAGAAGGGCCAGUACCAUGGUUUAGUGCACAGCAAGCCACCCAUACCUGCAGGAGAAGCCAGGGCGGGCCCGUGUGGGAAGAGUGGGCUCAGGGGAUGUGCCAUGGGAGCCCAGGAUCUGACAGGGAACCUGUCGGACCUGCUGGAUCAGCUGCACAUGGGCUAAUCUCCGAACAGAACAGAACUUGCCUCUGGCUUGUUACACCUGACAGCAUCGCUUCCAGAGCUCUCAAGACCAGAAACACCAGCAUGGGCGAGGCGGGGACGCACACCCUACAUCAGCCUGGAUAAUUAAAAGGGCAGCCAGGGAUUGGAGGAUGCUGGAGACCUUCCCUUAGCACCUCCUGCACCACUGGGCCUCACUAGAUCAGCACUUUCUGGAAUCUGCUGUAUUGCCAGAUGAUGAUUGGGCGUCUGACAGGAGAUGAAUAAAGUCAAUAAAGUUCUUCUUUCUGGUUAUAAAAAAAAAAAUAAUGAAAAGCAGAGAGAGAUAGGCGAAGGGCUGCCUACAGCUUUCCCAUGUUGCAGUGAACUGAAUGGAGAGAGAGCUACCUUCAGUUGCCUUUUCAUUUUCUCCUGUCUUCAUGCCAAGAGCAAUCAGCAUUUAACUGAGAUCAAGCAUUUGGAAGAUACCAUGCUUAUUCAGAAAUAUUCC